UGAGGAAUAUUGGUCAAUGGACGAGAGUCUGAACCAGCCAAGUAGCGUGCAGGAUGACGGCCCUAUGGGUUGUCAACUGCUUUUGUUUGGGAAUAAUCGACAUUACGUGUACUGUUUUGCAUGUACCAUUCGAAUAAGGACCGGCUAAUUCCGUGCCAGCAGCCGCGGUAAUACGGAAGGUCCAGGCGUUAUCCGGAUUUAUUGGGUUUAAAGGGAGUGUAGGCGGUUGGUUAAGCGUGUUGUGAAAUGUAGAUGCUCAACAUCUGACUUGCAGCGCGAACUGGCUGACUUGAGUACACACAACGUAGGCGGAAUUCAUGGUGUAGCGGUGAAAUGCUUAGUAAUCAUGAAGAACUCCGAUAGCGAAGGAAGCUUACGGGAGCGCAACUGACGCUGAAGAUCGAAGGUGCGGGGAUCGAACAGG
Molecule: ribosomal RNA, 424 nt
Filed under: Verrucomicrobiota bacterium
Lineage: Bacteria; Pseudomonadati; Verrucomicrobiota
Description: Verrucomicrobia bacterium partial 16S ribosomal RNA
Rfam family: Bacterial small subunit ribosomal RNA
Source: RNAcentral